GGGUGCACCAGGCGCGAAAACUUUACAAUGCGGGAAACCGUGAUAAGGGGACACCGAGUGCCAGCAUCAUAUGCUGGCUGUCCGGGUGUGUAAAAUACACCUGUUAGCAAGGGCCGGGCAAGACCGGUGCCAGCCGCCGCGGUAACACCGGCGGCCCGAGUGGUGAUCGUGAUUAUUGGGUCUAAAGGGUCCGUAGCCGGUUUGGUCAGUCCUCCGGGAAAUCUGAUAGCUCAACUAUUAGGCUUUCGGGGGAUACUGCCAGACUUGGAACCGGGAGAGGUAAGAGGUACUACAGGGGUAGGAGUGAAAUCUUGUAAUCCCUGUGGGACCACCUGUGGCGAAGGCGUCUUACCAGAACGGGUUCGACGGUGAGGGACGAAAGCUGGGGGCACGAACCGGAUUAGAUACCCGGGUAGUCCCAGCCGUAAACGAUGCUCGCUAGGUGUCAGGCAUGGCGCGACCGUGUCUGGUGCCGCAGGGAAGCCGUGAAGCGAGCCACCUGGGAAGUACGGCCGCAAGGCUGAAACUUAAAGGAAUUGGCGGGGGAGCA
Molecule: ribosomal RNA, 550 nt
Filed under: uncultured archaeon
Lineage: Archaea
Description: bacterial SSU rRNA
Rfam family: Archaeal small subunit ribosomal RNA
Source: RNAcentral